RNAcentral lists this small nucleolar RNA (78 nucleotides) under Amborella trichopoda. RNAcentral describes it as "snoRNA SNOR75". Lineage: Eukaryota; Viridiplantae; Streptophyta; Magnoliopsida; Amborellales; Amborellaceae. The record is from RNAcentral.
UCUCAAUGAUGUCAAAUCGAUGACGAGUCUGACAUGUUUUUAUAAUUUGAUGCAACUUGAGGCAUUUGUCUGAGAGAA